UGUUUUUGAUUGUGAUCAACAAGAAAAAGUGUCUAGACUACCAGAAAAGUUUAAAUAAAAUAUAAAUUAAUACAAAUAAUAAAUUCAAUAUUUAAAAAUUAUAAAUACAUACUAAUUUUCUUCUUGAAGUAUUUCUUUCUCUAUUUACAGCUGAAUUUCGGGAAUUAAACUGGAAUACCUACCUAUAUCAUAUCCCUAUAAUAUAACCAUGUACCUACAUAUAACAUGAUAUGUUCUAUUUGUGCAAAGUUCCCGCGUAUAAAAAAUAGACCACGACGAAAAACAUCCAUGUUUAAUUAAAAAGUUGUUUAAAAACAUGAGGUGAGACGAUCCAUAAUUUAGAAUCAAUACUCUAAUUGAAUUCAAUCAAUUCAAAAUUCAAUUGAAAUGUGAAUUAAUUCGGCAAGAGUUGCAGCUUCUACUUUGUAUGUACGAGUAUGUACUCGACGCAAGAGUCCCUCCCAAACGAUGUUUGGAAACUGCUCAUCACAAAGAAGGGAACCCAAUAUUUCAAGCUAGCUUGUAUGUGCAUCAUAAAAAUUCCAUUAAAAACACUAAUAUGUUAUAUUUAUUAUAUUUAAAAUCACAUAACAAAUAAAAACUAAAAAUUAUGAAAGUCAACAGAA
Molecule: long non-coding RNA, 626 nt
Organism: Eupeodes corollae
Lineage: Eukaryota; Metazoa; Arthropoda; Insecta; Diptera; Syrphidae
Exons: 4
Source: RefSeq, a predicted model, not a curated record